Long non-coding RNA from Gadus macrocephalus (Pacific cod), 3323 nucleotides. RefSeq lists it as uncharacterized. NCBI's taxonomy places the organism in Eukaryota, Metazoa, Chordata, Actinopteri, Gadiformes, Gadidae. The transcript has 2 exons. The record is from RefSeq and is a predicted model, not a curated record.
UGGCUCCAUGUGUGUGUGUGUGUGUGCAGUGGCUCCGUGUGUGUGUGUGUGUGUUUGCUCCGUGUGUGUGCAUGCUUUUGUGCGUGUGUGCACUGUCCCCGUGUGUUGUUGACAUGUGACAUGAGUUCCUCUCUACAUCUGAAUGCAGUACCAGUCAGCUUCACUCACCAAGCAUUGGUCUGAUAAUUGACCCUUGAUCCCCGUGGCAGAGCGAAGGCAAGGCUCCGAUAGGCCCCUCCGUCCCUCGCCUCGUCCCCCCUGCGGUGAGACGCCUGUCGGGGGGAGCCUCCAGGUUAGCUCUGAUAUAUGAUCACAUGGAGGGCAGCCUAUUAGCCGCAAGCGCUCACUUAGCGUCACAGUGGCGAAGCCCGCGGUUAAGACAAGGACGCCACCGUAGGUAAAGCCUCCCACCCCCUGGUGGCGCGCUGCCCGCUGCUCCAACCAGCCCCUAAGUGCCUCCGACAGGUGGAAGGAAUGGAAAUGGCCUUGUUCUGUAUGGCGUAUGUGUGUGUGUGUGUGUGUGUGUGUGUGUGUGUGUGUGUGUGUGUGUGUGUGUGUGUGUGUGUGUGUGUGUGUGUGUCAUGGGGCGUUUGGCUGUGUGUGCGAGCGUCCAAGUUUGCGUGUGUGUUUGUAGUUCUGUGAGUGUGUGUGUGUGUCUAUGUUUCUGUGUGUGUGUGUGUUUGUGUGAUUUUGUGAGUGUGUGUGUGUGUAUGUAUGUGUGUGUGUGUGUUUUUGUUUGUGUGAGAGUGUGUAUGUUUGUGUUUGUGAGAGAGUGUGUGCGUGUGUGUGAGUGUGUCCCUGUGUGUUUGUGUGUGAGGGAGUGUGUGAGAGAUUGCGUGUGUGUGUAUAUGUGUGUGUGUUUGUGUUUGCGUGUGUAUGUGUCUGUUUGUGUGGCUGACAGUGUUUGUGAGUGUGUGUCUGAGAGAGAAUGUGUGUGUGUGUGUGUGUAUGUGUGUGUGUGUGUGUGUGUGUUUGUGUGUGUGUGUGUGUGUGUGUGUGUGUGUGUGUGUGUGUGUGUGUGUGUGUGUGCGUGUGUGUGUGUGUGUGUGUGUGUGUGUGUGUGUGUGUGUGUGUGUGUGUGUGCGCGUGUGUGUGUGUGUGUGUGUGUGUGUGUGUGUGUGUGUGUGUGUGUGUGUGUGUGUGUGCGUGUGUGUGUGUGUGUGUGUGUGUGUGUGUGUGUGUGUGUGUGUGGGUGGGUGUGUGAGAGGGUCCUGGGAGUUGGGAGGGUGGGAGCUUUUACAUUUCCUUUUCUUUCAGUAUUUUUUGGUUUCACUCAACCAGCCUGGGAAUGAAGGGCAAAUGCUAUGACUAUUGUCUGGUAAUUCACCUUUUGUUUAAUGUUUUUGGCAUACGAAGGAAACAUAAUUUAUUCGAAAAAAGAAAAACGCACACGAGCGAAGAAGGCGACUCAACGUGCACCGCUUUCCAAAACGUUUUAUUUCUUUUUUUGUGUUCAAACUGAAUUGUGCUGGUAUUGUGCGAUGGUUGGAAUGGAAAUGGAGGCCACCGACAAAAGGCUUUCUCUGUACUGUUAUAAAGCGCUGAGCACUUAUCCAACUGGUAGGCUGGUUGUUGUAAGGAGGACCAAGGUCAGAACCAGAGAAAGCAUCAGAACCCAGCCAGGCAUUGGAUGCGGCCCUGGGCUGAACACGCUCCCCUCAUUGUGCCUCCAGUGGGAGGAGAAGGGAAGGAGAAGACAAGAACAAUCAUCCUUAUUCUGAGAUCCUCAAUGGCAAUGCUGAUAAGCAUCUCAAAGUUUGUUGCACAACCCAACUUUUAAGCACUUUUGAUGAAUUGAGUUGAAAUGAAACUAUUGCAGAUGUUACAAUAACGCACCACUGCUAUAAGAAAAAGGGGCAAAAGAUGGGACUAAGAUUGUGUUGUGAUGCUUAAAGCUGCAGCAAUUGUUAACAAAUAUUUUCAUGACGUAAUUCUACUCUUUUACUCUUUUUAGCUCCAACUUAGAUUGUAUGCUUUGAUGGUUCUCAAGCCUGUUUUACUGUUGAUAAUCACAUCUGCUUAAUGCAAAACGGACACUCUCCAAACUCUGCUAAUGCGAAUACACUCAGAGUAAGGCUUAAAGGGCCAGGACGAGAUUGUUGACUGUGGAUCAUCUAGUAUUCAUGCGGUAACAUAUGCAUCCAGUUUGUGACGGUGUUUGUGUGUAUGUGUGUGUUUGUGUGUGUGUGUGUGAGCGUGUGCAUGUGUGUGUGUGUGUGUGCUUGUGCGUGCGUGUGCGUGUGCGUGCAUGUCUGUGUGUACACUACAGGCUGCUGUCUCCAUAAGUCCGGUCCAGGUGACACUGUAAUUAUGGCUUUGGUUUGACCAAGGAUAGCGCUAUAGGCUUAUUAGCGAGGGCUUGGCUCUAUGUUUGUCUUUCUCUAUAGGAUUUGCAGAUCAAGGUUGUGUGUAUAUCUUUCAGGGUUCAUAUGCACUGCGCUGCAUUGUUUAUCGCUGUGUUUAUGUGUGUGUGUGUGUGUGUGUGUGUGUGUGUGUGUGUGUGUGUGUGUGUGUGUGUGUGUGUGUGUGUGUGUGUGUGUGUGUGUGUGUGUGUGUGUGUGUGUGUGUGUUUAUGUGUGCGUGUGUCUGUGUGUUUACUACUGUGAACCAAUAGCGAUUGGAACCUGCUCAUGUACACACAAACUGUAUACACACACACACACAAACACACACACACAAACUGUAUACACACACACACACACACACACACACACACACACACACACACACACACACACACACACACACACACACACACACACACACACACAUACACACACACACAAUCUUUGCUGUCAUUUCUUGGUCAAUUAGAAUAAUGUAAAGUCCAGCCCUGAAGAGGAGGGGGUUCAGAGAGGAUGCUGGGAUAUUUCCAGUGGUGACACCAGGAGCAGUGGGAGAGCAGGGCUGCUGGAGGACAGACAGACAGUCAGACAGACAGUUUAUGUACAGAUGAAAGGUAUUAAUAAUAUGUAUUAUUCUAUAGCCUGACUCAGCUAGUCUGAGAUCCCGUCUCCCUCCCAUUCCUCCCUCAGCGACCUCCACCAUAGAGCCCUCUCAAAGGCUACCCCUCCGCCCCCCCCCCAGCCUUGCCACAAAAACGCGCACACACACACACACACACACACACACACACACACACACACACACACACACACACACACACACACACACAUGCACUCACAUGCACACACACACACACACACACACACACACACACACACACACACACACACACACACACACACACACACACACACACACACACACACACACACACACACACACACAAACACACACUCACAUGCGUACGCACACACACA